RNAcentral lists this long non-coding RNA (5081 nucleotides) under Sus scrofa (pig). RNAcentral's name for it is "lncRNA (ENSSSCG00045028870.1)". The record is from RNAcentral. Lineage: Eukaryota; Metazoa; Chordata; Mammalia; Artiodactyla; Suidae.
UUUUUUUUUUUUUUUUUCCCCUUCCCUCUUACUAAUUUGAAGUUUUAGCACACAGUCUUUCCGUUGUACUUGAGCAGGGAAGCAGGAAAAUCCCUUAGCAGUUCGGUAGUGGUGUUGACAGCCUGAUGAGACCCCAGCUCCAGGGCUGAGGGAGUCACUGACGGUAGGUGAUAUUAGCUCAUUUGGGUAUUCUGAACCCCGAAUACCCAUUCAGAUCUAUAUGUCUGCUUCAUUAAGGCUUAAAUGUACCAGCUCCAGGGCUGAGGGAGUCACUGACGGUAGGUGAUACUAGCUCAUUUGGGUAUUCUGAACCCCGAAUACCCAUUCAGAUCUAUAUGUCUGCUUCAUUAAGGCUUAAAUGUACCACUCUACCGUGUCCGAUAUUUAUUUGGAGUCAUUAUUUUUCCUUCUUCUAAAAAAAAAUACUGAAAAAAAUCAGCUUCUCGCUAAUUAGAGACCUCAAGUGUCAAGAAAGGGAAUCUAAUAGUAAUAGAAAAGUAGAAUCCUAGAAGAGUGACUUCCCAGUGGGUGGAAGAAUAUUUGUGUGUAGAUUUUAUGCUGUAGGAUGUUUAUAUGCCUAAUAUAGUUAAAAAUAAAAGGGAAUUUUUCUCUUUACCAUAAAUGGGUAGGGUUUUUGCCAGUUCCUUGGUGAUUCAAAUAUAUAUGGAAAACCAGGCACUGAAUAGCAGAGUGUUCUUUAGCAUCUUAUUGACAUGUGAAGCAUGUCCCCCCGGCUCCAAAAAAUGCUCUAAGAAAAAAGAUGCCAAACAAAUGGGAACACACUUAUUAGAUCCUCUUCUUGGAGAUUCUCUGUUCACAUUAGCAAAUUAAGGGAGUUUGAAGAACUGGUAGCAAAGAAACCAUUCUAAUUUUCUUUCAGCCAGGAUCUUUCACACAUCUGAGCUAUGGAUUUUAUUUUACUUAUGGCAUUUAUUAACAUUCUUUGCAAUUCUCAAGUGACAGACUUUAGAAAGGAUUGGCCAGUUAUAGCUGUCUCUGCUGCGUGGAAAGAGAAUCGGAACCAAAUACCCCAGGUGAGGAAAGUAUCAACAUGCUUUUGUUGAGUGUAUUUUAGGAGAAGGGCACCCUGUCUUAUACUGAAUAUGCCCUGUCUUAUAUUGACUAUGCUGCAAGGCACUUAUUUCCUUGGGAAAACUCUCAUUUCCUCUUGUAAACAUCCCCACCCCCAUAAGGCCUCCUAUGAAAACUAAAUAUUUAAAAACAGGGAAAUACCAGUGUAUUCUUCCCUGAUACCUGAACUCUGCUUGUUUUUAUGACUGAAUUAGCCAUUCCUGCAGAUGGGUUUGGGUAAUCUCCUGCUGAUAAAUCUCACAUCAGCUCUACUGAAACUGAAAAGAUGGCAGAAGAAUGGAUAUUGCUUUUCUACCAUAUACACUGACCAGAGGUUUCUAACUGGAUCAUCACUUUUUAUAACCUAUUUAAAAACAAAUACAUUGUUGUUCCUUUUUUCUGGAUCUCAAUAUUAUUUUUGUUUUAUAAUUGCUUUUUCCCCUCCUCUUACAUGUUUUUGAGCAAACAUGAAAACUUUCAAUUUUUUUUUCAGCAAAGUGAAAAUUGUUUAGUCUUUUUAGAAAGUCUUGCUAUAUGACUACAUAUUCUCCAAAAAACAAUAGUUGGAAAAAUGCCCUAAUUUUAUGAAACAUUAUUUUUGGCUUGGUGUAUAGCGAUGGAUCUCCUUUAGGCUCAAUAAUAUGGUAUACAUUUGGUGCAGGAAAAAAAAUUUAGGAUUGUAUUCACUUCUUUGGUAUUGAGUCAAGAAAAGGACCCCAGAGAACAUUAAUUCAGAGCGGAUGAAGCGAAUUGUGAAAAUGGUGGUGAAUCCUCAGUCAGGCUAGGAUGAGCCUUCCUGUGUCCCCCUCUUUUUCUUCUUUGCUUUUUCAGGAUCCGCUCCCCUUCCUGUUGAUGUUUUCCCCUUUCCUCUCUUCCUAGUGGGUCAGGAGAUUCGAGGCACCCAUCCUCCUGUCGGGCAAUAGCUAAGGAAGAGCCUAAAAUAGCAGUUCAAAGAGACAGGCUCCUCUAGCACAAAUUUUAGGGGAGAGGAAUGAAGAGGCUAGUCUAAGUUUGAAGUCUGCCGCUAACUAGUCAUGUGCCAAGCAUGUCAUUCUAGUAAGGUGGAGUUUCAGUUCUGUAGCUAAACAACUUUGUGACCUGUUGUGGUAAUUCUCCUUUGAAAACAAUUAAUGGAUACCAAACUUUGUUCUUUUAUUUUUCCAUCUAACAAAUAUUUAUGAAAUACUUACCAUGUGCCAAGCAUUGUUGAAAGAUUCUGAGGAUAUAGAAAUGAGAAAAAAUGAUAUGAUCCCUGCCCUCACGGAGUUACUACUUUCUAAUGCGGAGACUUUAAAUAAUGGUAAAACAUCCCACAUUUUCAUGACUUUUGAUUUCCUCCCUGUGCUUUUAAAUUUUAUGUUCUAGCAAGGAGAGCUGCUGACAUCAGGUUUUUUUUUUUUUUUUUUUUUUUGUAAAAGAAAGUGCAUUAAUAUUUAUAUAAGAAUGUACUGUCAGAAUAUCCCCCCCUUUUUUUUUAAAGGAAGAAUUCCACUAACUUAUAUCUGGAGAUUAGCAUGCUUUCUUGAAAUAUGAAAUGAUAUUUCAGUGGUUUUCAGUGUUUAAACACUAAGCAUACCACAGAUUCUAAGAGUAGCUUUUUGAUGUUUCUUUUUCUUUGUAGAUUUAUCAUUGUACAUAUUAAAUAUUAUCUGUCUUCCAGAUGAUCUUUAAUGAAAGGAGACUGUUGUCUUUGAUUCUUGCCCUGGGCACAGAAUGAUAUUUUAAGUUGAAAGUAUUACAGAGUUUUAAAUUUAGUUAUCUUUUAGAAGAAUUAUGCCAUACUGUAUGUGACACUGUUAAUAGCAUUAAAUUCCAAAGGUUUCAAUUAAAGUGAGUUUCCAAACAUUGAUGAUAGGGGAAGAAAACUGAGCAGGCAAAGUUGGUUUAUAGUAAUUCAUCAUAGCUAGACUCUGGAUCUUUGUUCAGAAAACUUACCUCAUUCAGCCUGGCGGUCAUUCCUAUGUGGUGUUAGGCAGGUAGGUAGAUUUUCCUUUUCUUCUGCAUUUAUGUUCCAUGGGAAACUUUGGCCUGAGUGCAGCUUCUUUGCAUGCUUGGGAAAGAUGAUGGCACAGAUGUCUCCUAUCACUGAUGUUCUUAUUAGUUAUUAGAAAUUCCACUUAAUGUUUGCAAAUUUGACAGCUGCCGUGAAGUUGUAAAGACUGUAGGGUCAAGAAUUUGGGAAGAAGGAGAAGGGCAGAAUAGAUGUUGAGAAAAGUCUCUAUGGACUAGGAGACUACAUUUCUGGUCUCUCCCAGGGUGCCUGAUAGUUAUAUCCUUCAAAGAGAUACAACAGAAAGUAAGCCUCCACGUCCUCAUUCCAAGACAGACCUCUCUCCUCCCUGCUUUCUUCCUUCCACAAGCAUUCAUUGAACAUGUGUUGUGCUGAGGACAAAGAUGGCUCUGUCAUCUACCCUGUCUGGCUAUCAUUCAGAUGUAGAUACAUUUUAGCCAUGGACUCUAUUAUUAUUUUUUAUUGUGGUGAAAUAUGCAUAACAUUUAUUAGGAGUUCCUGUUGUGGCUCAGCAGUAAUGAACCUGACUAGUAUCCAUGAGGAUGCGGGUUUGAUCCCUGGCCCUGGUCAGUGGGUUAAGGACCUGGCGUUGCCGUGAGCUGUGGUGUAGGUCGCAGAUGCAGCUCGGAUCUGGUGUUGCUGUGGCCCAGACCAGCAGCUGCAGCUCUUAUUCAGCUCCUAGCCCAGGAACUUCCAUAUGCCCUGGGUGUGGCCCUAAAAAGGAGGAAAAAAAAAGUUAUCAUUUAAAGUGUAUAUUUCAGUGGCUUUAGGAACACUGGAGUUUGUUGUGCAGCAAACUCCAAACUUUUUCAUGUUCCCUGAUUGAAACACUGUUCUGUACCCAUUAAACAAUAACUUCCCAUUCUCCCCUCCCCCCAGGUUCUUGGCAACCACCAUUCUACUUUCUGUCUCUAUGAAUUUGACUGUUCUAGGUACCUUAAAUAAGCAGAAUCUUACAAUAUUUGUCCUUCUGGGUCUGGCUUAUUUCAGUUUGCAUAAAGUCUUCAAGAUUCAUUCAUAUUGUAGCAUGUCUCAGAAUAUCCUUCCAUUUUAAGCCUGAAUAAUAUUGUGCAUAUAUAUCACAUUUGUUUAUCUAUUCAUCUGCCAGUGGACAGUUGGGUUGUUUCUACCUGUGUGAAUAAGGCUACUGUAAACCUUGAAGUAUGAGUAUUGUUCAAGUCCCUGCUUUCAGUUUCUUUAUUUAUUAUAUACCUAGAAGUGGAAUUGCUGAGUCUUCUGGGGGGAACUACUAUAGUGUUUUCCACAGUGUGUUGCACCAUUUUACGUUCCCAUCCCAAAUAUAUGAAGGUUCCAGUUUCUCCAUACUCAUAAAUACCUAUUUUUUGUUUUGUUUUGUUUUGUUUUAAAUAAUAGUCGUCUUACUGGAUAUGAAGAGGUACCUCACUGUAGUUUUGAGUUACAUUUCCCUAAUGACUAGUGUUACCGAGCAUCGUCUCAUGGGCUUCCUGACCAUUUGUAUCUCUUCUUUGGUAUAAUGUUUAUCCAAGUACUUUUGCCCAUUUUUAAAUUGAGUUGUUUGUUUUGUUGUUGUUGUUGAGUUGCAGAAGUUUUAAAAACUAAAUUCUGACUAUCAAUCCCUUAUCAGAUAUAUGAUUUUCAGAUAGUUUUCCCAUUCUGUAGGUUGUCUUUUCAUUCUUUUUAUACUGUCUUUUGAUGCACAAAAGUAAGUUAUUUUGGUGAAGUCCUGUUUAUUCACUUUUUUCUUUUCUUGCCUGUGCUUUUUGUGUCAUAUCCAAGAAAUCAUUGCCAAAUAGUCAUAUACUCUUAAUUCAGGUAUAUUUAUUUAUUAUAUACAUGAAUUAUGUUCCAAACAAAAAAAAAUUGAAAUUUUAAAAGGGUGAGGAAAAAGGUGAAAAGUAAGUAGAUACAUUAAUUUUUUUUUCACUGUAUAUCCCUGUGGUUGAGUUUGCUACAUUGAUUUUGAAAAUCUUGCUUUUAAGUUCUGGUUCUAAGUUUGGUGUCUUUCCGUAACUGCUGC